This 253-nucleotide ribosomal RNA is filed under the name uncultured bacterium. Its description in RNAcentral is "partial 16S ribosomal RNA". It matches the Rfam family "Bacterial small subunit ribosomal RNA", at positions 524 to 776 of the family's 1533-position model. The record is from RNAcentral.
GACAGAGGGUGCAAACGUUGCUCGGAAUCACUGGGCGUAAAGGGCGUGUAGGCGGGAAGGAAAGUCAGAUGUGAAAGCCCUGGGCUCAACCCAGGAACUGCAUUUGAAACUCCCUUUCUUGAGUGUCGGAGAGGAAAGCGGAAUUCCUGGUGUAGAGGUGAAAUUCGUAGAUAUCAGGAGGAACACCGGUGGCGAAGGCGGGUCUCUGGGCCGAUACUGACGCUGAGGAGCGAAAGCGUGGGGAGCGAACAGG